RNAcentral lists this ribosomal RNA (497 nucleotides) under uncultured bacterium. RNAcentral describes it as "partial 16S ribosomal RNA". It matches the Rfam family "Bacterial small subunit ribosomal RNA", at positions 28 to 523 of the family's 1533-position model. The record is from RNAcentral.
GAUGAACGCUGGCGGCGUGCCUAACACAUGCAAGUCGAGCGAGAAGCUUAGGACGGAUACUUCGGUAAACAGAAUAAGUGGAAAGCGGCGGACGGGUGAGUAACGCGUAGGCAACCUGCCCUUUGCAGAGGGAUAGCCUCGGGAAACCGGGAUUAAAACCUCAUGACACCUUUUGGUCACCUGGCCGAAAGGUCAAAGAUUUAUCGGCAGAGGAUGGGCCUGCGUCUGAUUAGUUAGUUGGUAAGGUAACGGCUUACCAAGGCAAUGAUCAGUAGCCGACCUGAGAGGGUGAUCGGCCACAUUGGAACUGGGACCCGGUCCAAACUCCUACGGGAGGCAGCAGUGGGGAAUAUUGCACAAUGGGGGAAACCCUGAUGCAGCAACGCCGCGUGAGCGAAGAAGGCCUUUGGGUCGUAAAGCUCUGUCCUAGGGGAAGAAACAAAUGACGGUACCCUUGGAGGAAGCCCCGGCUAACUACGUGCCAGCCGCCGCAGUAA